UACGUAGGGUGCAAGCGUUGUCCGGAAUUAUUGGGCGUAAAGAGCUCGUAGGCGGUCUGUCGCGUCUGCUGUGAAACUCAGGGCUUAACCCUGAGCUUGCAGUGGGUACGGGCAGACGUAGAGUGCGGUAGGGAGACUGGAAUUCCUGGUGUAGCGGUGAAAUGCGCAGACUAUCAGGGAGGAACACCGGUGGGCGAAGGCGGGUCUCUUGGGCCGAA
This 218-nucleotide ribosomal RNA is filed under the name uncultured bacterium. RNAcentral describes it as "partial 16S ribosomal RNA". It matches the Rfam family "Bacterial small subunit ribosomal RNA", at positions 524 to 738 of the family's 1533-position model. The record is from RNAcentral.